Molecule: ribosomal RNA, 481 nt
Filed under: uncultured bacterium
Lineage: Bacteria
Description: partial 16S ribosomal RNA
Rfam family: Bacterial small subunit ribosomal RNA
Source: RNAcentral
GACGAACGCUGGCGGCGUGCUUAACACAUGCAAGUCGAGCGGUAAGGCCUCUUCGGGGGUACACGAGCGGCGAACGGGUGAGUAACACGUGAGUAAUCUGCCCUUCACUUCGGGAUAAGCUUCGGAAACGGGGUCUAAUACCGGAUACGACACUUUCAGGCAUCUGAUGAGUGUGGAAAGUUUUUUCGGUGGGGGAUGUGCUCGCGGCCUAUCAGCUUGUUGGUGGGGUAAUGGCCCACCAAGGCUUCGACGGGUAGCCGGCCUGAGAGGGUGACCGGCCACACUGGGACUGAGACACGGCCCAGACUCCUACGGGAGGCAGCAGUGGGGAAUAUUGGACAAUGGGCGGAAGCCUGAUCCAGCAACGCCGCGUGAGGGAUGACGGCCUUCGGGUUGUAAACCUCUUUCAGUACCGACGAAGCGAGAGUGACGGUAGGUACAGAAGAAGCACCGGCCAACUACGUGCCAGCCGCCGCAAUAA